RNAcentral lists this ribosomal RNA (437 nucleotides) under uncultured bacterium. RNAcentral's name for it is "partial 16S ribosomal RNA". It matches the Rfam family "Bacterial small subunit ribosomal RNA", at positions 29 to 507 of the family's 1533-position model. The record is from RNAcentral.
AGCGAACGCUGGCGGCAGGCCUAACACAUGCAAGUCGAGCGGGCAACCGGGUGGUGUCAGCGGCAGACGGGUGGGUAACGCGUGGGAACGUGCCCUUCGUUCCGGAUUAACUCGGGGAACCUCGAGAUAAUACCGGUUACAUUCCAGAGCAGAAAGGGUUAGCUGCCGUAGGAUCGGCCAGCGGCUGAUUACCUAGUUGGUGAGGUUAUGGCUCACCAAGGCGACGAUCAGUAGCUGGUCUGAGAGGAUGCUCAGCCACACUGGGACUGAGACACGGCCCAGACUCCUACGGGAGGCAGCAGUGGGGAAUAUUGGACAAUGGGGGCAAUCCUGAUCCAGCCAUGCCGCGUGAGUGAUGAAGGUCUUAGGGUUGGAAAGUUCUUUUCUCCGGGACGAUAAUGACGGUACCGGAGGAAUAAGCCCCGGCUAACUUCGUG